UUAGGUUUAGUGCUCUCCGUCUCUGCUGCAUGAGAUCACUCUUUUGCAGCACUGUUGACAUCCUCAAGUUGUUGUUGUGAGUCCAGCUGCUGUGGCCUUCAGGGGUCAAAGGGUCAAAGAUGGUCGCGGAGAGGGCAACGAUGGUAGAGGGGAGGGUAGGAGUCCAGGUCAGCUUCGGCUCUCAGAAAAAACAAAAACAAAACAAAACAGGCGAACAGGAAAAUGAUGUUGUGUUGGCUGUGCUGUGUUGGCUGUGUUAUCCCGAGAGGGGAGAAACAACGAGAUCUCGUCUCCCCCCUUUUUUGUUUUUGUUUUUUUUUUUUUUUUUUUUUUUUUUUUCACCAUAUAAUCAACUCCUAACCCCUCAAGUUGACAGGACAACACAGGUACGUGUUAAAAUUCUUAAGAUCCUGUUUAGAAACCUAAAAAGGAAUUUCCUAUCAUUCAGUAGUCAGUUGUCUUAAACAAUCAACAAAAACAUGUCCCAAGUCGACCCUUUUAACCACUAAAUUUGUCGUGUCCUCACUUAAUCCUCAGACCAGUGUCUUUGUCUUUUGACGUUACGUUGUUGUCCUGCAACCCAAAGCGUUUAAUUGUCAGUAAUGUAUAAACUAUAUCAUUUAAAAACAGGUGUAUGUUAAGUGUCGCUACUUUAACCUUGCAUGUACGUGCACAUGUAUGUAAGCUGUUUCUUCAUUGCAUGUAUGGGUGCGUCUGUAUAUGGGUUACUUUAACUUUUUCUCAAACGAGGCAUGUCUCUAACACGCACAUGUGUCUGUUCCUCACCCUUCUCAUAUCUUUCUCUGGUUGUGUGUGGUUUUAUUUGUUUCAGUGAUUUACCAGGAACAUCUUUUCCUUUUCUCCAUGUCUUCCGCCAGAGGUUAACCCUGGUGAGAUUCAGGGACACAGCACCCAGAGCAGCUUUUGUCCAAACUCCGUUCACUCAGACCACGGCCGAUGUCCUCCCUCCCGUUCCAGUUUGACCUGGAGCGGAUCCUGUUCGUGACGCCAAUUGAAGGAUACAAAAAAAACAACAACAGCAAUAGAAUAAUAUUAAACACAAAGUGAACCCGUCUUCCUUCAUUAAAUAGGUUCUUUUAGAUGUUAAGGAGGAAUUGACUUAACCAGGCUGGCGGAGAAUGAAGACAACCGGACACCUGCUGCAGAUGGGGAAUCAGUGAACUUUUAUUGAGACAGAGACAAACUCUCAACGCAGCUCACAUCAAGAGAUUCCAAAUAUUUGCUGUGAGGAUGGGUAUAUAUUCUCUAAAACUUACAGGAGGGGGUUGUGAGGAAAGUGCUGCAUUAGCAGAAAAACAACUCCAUAAAAGGAAAUCGGCCUUGGG
This is a long non-coding RNA of Astatotilapia calliptera (eastern happy), 1346 nucleotides long. Lineage: Eukaryota; Metazoa; Chordata; Actinopteri; Cichliformes; Cichlidae. The record is from Ensembl.